CAAAUUCUUUCAUUGCUCUUCGGAGCAAAUGAAGAAACAUAAUGUGCACCUGUAUUUGUACGUUGGCGGCUGUUCAGUGCUUUGUGCUGAACUUGCAUUAGAUUGCAAAGGCCGUCAAUAGUGUUUUUCACAGAAACGCUUUAAGAAUUUCCAAAACUAUUUUCUUUGUGUUUAUAACUUUUUCUCUUGAAAACCAAGAA
This 200-nucleotide unclassified non-coding RNA is filed under the name soil metagenome. Its description in RNAcentral is "partial internal transcribed spacer 1". The record is from RNAcentral.